RNAcentral lists this unclassified non-coding RNA (337 nucleotides) under soil metagenome. RNAcentral's name for it is "partial contains 5.8S ribosomal RNA, internal transcribed spacer 2, and large subunit ribosomal RNA". The stretch from base 1 to 120 matches the Rfam family "5.8S ribosomal RNA", at positions 35 to 154 of the family's 154-position model. The record is from RNAcentral.
GAUGAAGAACGUAGCGAAAUGCGAUAACUAAUGUGAAUUGCAGAAUUCAGUGAAUCAUCGAGUCUUUGAACGCACAUUGCGCCCCCUGGUAUUCCGGGGGGCAUGCCUGUCCGAGCGUCAUUGCUGCCCUCAAGCACGGCUUGUGUGUUGGGCUCCGUCCCCCCGGGGACGGGCCCGAAAGGCAGCGGCGGCACCGAGUCCGGUCCUCGAGCGUAUGGGGCUUUGUCACCCGCUCUGUAGGCCCGGCCGGCGCCAGCCGACAACCCAUCAUCCUUUUCAGGUUGACCUCGGAUCAGGUAGGGAUACCCGCUGAACUUAAGCAUAUAAAAGCGGAGGA